RNAcentral lists this ribosomal RNA (253 nucleotides) under uncultured bacterium. RNAcentral's name for it is "partial 16S ribosomal RNA". It matches the Rfam family "Bacterial small subunit ribosomal RNA", at positions 524 to 776 of the family's 1533-position model. The record is from RNAcentral.
GACGAACCGUGCAAACGUUGUUCGGAAUCACUGGGCUUAAAGCGUGUGUAGGCGGACCGUUAAGUACCUUGUGAAAUCCCACGGCUCAACCGUGGAACGGCUGGGUAUACUGGCGGUCUUGGGCCACUCAGGGGCGAGCGGAACAAGUGGUGGAGCGGUGAAAUGCGUAGAUAUCACUUGGAACGCCGACGGUGAAAACAGCUCGCUGGGAGUGUGCCGACGCUGAGACACGAAAGCCAGGGGAGCGAACGGG